GAUGAACGCUAGCGGCAGGCCUAAUACAUGCAAGUCGAACGGGAUUGGGGAGCUUGCUCCCCAUGAGAGUGGCGCACGGGUGCGUAACGCGUGAGCAACCUGCCCGUCCCAGGGGGAUAGCCCGUUGAAAGACGGAUUAACACCGCACGACGUAGUUAACUGGCAUCAGUAUACUACCAAAUAUUUAUAGGGGACGGAUGGGCUCGCGUGACAUUAGCUAGUUGGAGAGGUAACGGCUCACCAAGGCGACGAUGUCUAGGGGCUCUGAGAGGAGAAUCCCCCACACUGGUACUGAGACACGGACCAGACUCCUACGGGAGGCAGCAGUAAGGAAUAUUGGUCAAUGGGCGGAAGCCUGAACCAGCCAUGCCGCGUGCAGGAAGACGGCCCUACGGGUUGUAAACUGCUUUUGUACGGGAAUAACCCCUAUUAUGUAUAAUAGGUUGAAUGUACUGUAAGAAUAAGGAUCGGCUAACUCCGUGCCAGCAGCCGCGGUAA
This 498-nucleotide ribosomal RNA is filed under the name uncultured bacterium. RNAcentral's name for it is "partial 16S ribosomal RNA". It matches the Rfam family "Bacterial small subunit ribosomal RNA", at positions 28 to 523 of the family's 1533-position model. The record is from RNAcentral.